Molecule: non-coding RNA, 80 nt
Organism: Perkinsus marinus ATCC 50983
Lineage: Eukaryota; Perkinsozoa; Perkinsida; Perkinsidae
Source: Rfam
GACAGUUUGGCCGAGUGGUCUAAGGCGCUGGCUUAAGGUGCCAGUCCGAAAGGGCGUGGGUUCGAACCCCACAGCUGUCA